RNAcentral lists this long non-coding RNA (1161 nucleotides) under Phaseolus vulgaris (common bean). RNAcentral's name for it is "long non-coding RNA (PVUL_LNC000948)". The record is from RNAcentral. Lineage: Eukaryota; Viridiplantae; Streptophyta; Magnoliopsida; Fabales; Fabaceae.
AUUGUAAGUAGCGGUUAACUCGAACAGUUAAGUGAAAACAGUUUUUUCAAGGUGGCACUCUUUUUCCCUAAAAAGGGUUUUUUAAUGAGGCCACCCAAUAAAGAAAGGUUCGAGUUUAUCAAGUUUUCCCAGUUGUUGAGUUUGCAUGGUUAUCAUUUUAAAUUCGGAAACAAAAGACUUGGUCGUCCUUGUGUAAUUUAGGGCAGAUUCAAAUCGCAUGCGUAAAGUUUUUUACUCCCCAUCACCGCUUGGUGAUUGGAAGCACUAGUAUGAAGUCUUAAGCCCUCAUUGCCAGUUGGCGAUCGGAGGUAAAAGUCAAGUUUUAAGUCCUCAUCGCCACUCGGCGAUUGAAGGCACAAGUUAAGUUUUUAAGUCCUCAUCGCCACUCGGCGAUUGAAGGCACAAGUUAGGUUUUUAAGUCCUCAUCGCCACUCGGUGAUUGAAGGCGCAAGUUAGGUUUUUAAGUCCUCAUCGCCACUCGGUGAUUGAAGGCGCAAGUUAGGUUUUUAAGUCCUCAUCGCCACUCGGCGAUUGAAGGCGCAAGUUAGGUUUUUAAGUCCUCAUCACCACCCAGCAAUCGGAGGUGAAAGUUAAGUUUGAAGUCCUACUCGCCUAGAGCGAGUAUAGGCGAGAACAUAUCAGAAGUCCUACUCGCCUAGAACGAGUUUAGGCGAGAACAGAUUAAGAAGUCCUACUCGCCAAGAACGAUUAUAGGCGAGUGUUCAGAGCAAGAUGACAGGUAUGUCCAGUAUGAGUUAAAAUCCGGACGCCUAGUCCUUGAGCAGGGGUUAAAGGAUUCCUUCGGGACGCCCCCUCCUUAAGUAUGAAUAGCUAGCCCCGGUACCAGUUAAAAUCCGGACGCCUAGUCCUUGAGCAGGGGUUAAAGGAUUCCUUCGGGACGCCCCCUCCUCAAGUAUGAAUAGCUAGCCCCGGUACCAGUUAAAAUCCGGACGCCUAGUCCUUGAGCAGGGGUUAAGGGAUUCCUUCGGGACGCCCCCUCCUCAAGUAUGAAUAGCUAGCCCCGGUACCAGUUAAAAUCCGGACGCCUAGUCCUUGAGCAGGGGUUAAGGGAUUCCUUCGGGACGCCCCCUCCUCAAGUAUGAAUAGCUAGCCCCGGUACCAGAUGAGAUUAAAAGUCCUCAGUGCAUCCAGGGAAAAGGU